RNAcentral lists this transfer RNA (86 nucleotides) under Klebsiella aerogenes EA1509E. Its description in RNAcentral is "tRNA-Ser (GGA) (tRNA-Ser-GGA-2-1)". It matches the Rfam family "tRNA". From Rfam's summary of the family: Transfer RNA (tRNA) molecules are approximately 80 nucleotides in length. Their secondary structure includes four short double-helical elements and three loops (D, anti-codon, and T loops). The record is from RNAcentral. Lineage: Bacteria; Pseudomonadati; Pseudomonadota; Gammaproteobacteria; Enterobacterales; Enterobacteriaceae.
GGUGAGUGUCGAGUCGCUGAAGGAGCACGCCUGGAAAGUGUGUAAACGGCAACGUAUCGGGGGUUCGAAUCCCCCCCUCACCGCCA